UAUGUCUCUUCUAAAUUAUUAUGUGUGUAGGUGACUACUGUGGGGAUCAAUACUGAAUGGGGAUUAUUGAUGGCCAGUAUAUCGGAAGGAAGUGGUGAACAAACUCCAUUAUAGGUGACUAUUAUGGUUGUUGUUGUACCUGAAGGUCUUCCAUUGGCUGUUACAUUGACUCUUACCUACUCAAUGAAGAAGAUGGCAAACAAAGCAUUGAUAUGCUUCUCUUCUUAUCAAACUAGAAUCCAUACGUUCAACUAUUAGUAAGUUGCUACGUUACAGCUUCAGAGGCUAUCAGCUUGUGAAAUGAUUGGAUCUACCACUACCAUCUGCAACGAUAAAAUUGGAACUCUAACAUUGA
Molecule: long non-coding RNA, 355 nt
Organism: Dendrobium catenatum
Lineage: Eukaryota; Viridiplantae; Streptophyta; Magnoliopsida; Asparagales; Orchidaceae
Exons: 3
Source: RefSeq, a predicted model, not a curated record